GACGAACAGAGCGAACGUUGUUCGGAAUCACUGGGCUUAAAGGGCGCGUAGGCGGGUGAUCAAGUCCGUGGUGAAAUCCUCCGGCUCAACCGGAGAACUGCCUCGGAUACUGGGUGCCUCGAGGGUGGUAGGGGUAUGCGGAACUAUCGGUGGAGCGGUGAAAUGCGUUGAUAUCGAUAGGAACUCCGGUGGCGAAGGCGGCAUACUGGACCACCUCUGACGCUGAGGCGCGAAAGCCAGGGGAGCAAACGGG
This 253-nucleotide ribosomal RNA is filed under the name uncultured bacterium. Its description in RNAcentral is "partial 16S ribosomal RNA". It matches the Rfam family "Bacterial small subunit ribosomal RNA", at positions 524 to 776 of the family's 1533-position model. The record is from RNAcentral.